CGAGCAGAACGAAUAGAAAUAUAUCGUAAGAUAUUGCAUGUUAGUUGCGUAAGGGUAAAUAAUAUAUUAGAAAACUACCAUAUAGUUAAGCAUACUAUUGUAUAAAAUCAAUAUAAAAUUCUUAAUAAGUAAAAAAAGAUUAACGUCGCUAAAUGGUGUGCUAAUACAAGAUUAGGUAGUUGGUGGAGGAAUGGUUUACCAAGCCCGCGAUCUUUUGCUGGGGUGAGAGCUUCUACAGCUACAUUAGAACUGAAAACGGUCUAAACUCGUACGCGGGGCAGCAGAAUAGAAUUUUGGUCAAUGCAUGGAAGUGUAAACUGGAAAUAUCGCAUCUGUGAAGACAGGCUUCUGUAAAACAGUUUUUGUGUGUAAAAUAAUGACCUCAAACAAGAAAAAAGCACCGGUUAAACGUAGUGCCAGCAGCUGCGGGAAGACUAAUGGUGUAAGCGUUAUACUCAUUUAUUGGGUGCAAAGGAUUUGUAGGCGCUUUACGGAAGUUGGAUAUUAAAUGUUAGAGGACAGUCUUUUAACGCUGUAUGCAAAACUUGUAAAGUAAGAAUAGAAAAGAAAAACAUCGAAUUAUAAAUGUAGCAGUAGAAUGCGACGAUAUUUAUAAGAAGACCAAGAGCGAAGGCAGUGUUUUAGAUUCUAAUUGACGCUGAGGAAUGAAAGUUAGAGUAUCGAACAGGGGUAGUUAUCCUGGUAGUUCUAGCAGUCAACGAUGAGAAUUAUAUCUUAGAAAAAAAGGGUUAACUGUUGGUUUGAGACAGAAUUCUUGUAAAAAUUUUAGGGAUAAAAGCUAGCGCGUUAAAUUCUCCACCUGGAGACUACACUUGCAAAAGUUAAAUUUUAAGGAGAUGACGGUCUUUGAUCUGAAUGAGUGAAGCUUGUUGUUUAAUGUGAUGAUCCGCGCUUAACCUUACCUGUCAAGUGUGGGUUGUUUAAAUCUUAAUCGGUGUAGAACAAAAUAGAACCCAUCUACUUUCUAGUGCUGCAUGGCUGUCGUCAAUUCGUGUUGUUUGAUAUGUGGACUUAGCUGUCUUCUGAACGAAUGUAACCCUUAAGUUUAUUAUAAUUUUAAUCUUACGAUUUUUAUUGAUAAAUAUGCUGCUUAAUUUAAGAUUAUUAGAAAUUUUUUUAGAGAUUAAAAAAAAUGAAAAAAUUAGCUUACUACAAGGUGGGUUAUAGGCUAUGCCUGUAAAGAAUUAAUUUAGCACAUCUAAUGCAAAUUAGAGGAACAAAAGGUUGAAGUCAAGUCCGUAUGGCUAAUGAUAGGGCUACAGACGUGCUGCAAAGGAAUUUACAAAGAGUUAUACAAGUUAUGAUUAAAUUAAUCUGAAAAAAGUUCCUUAGUUUGGAUUAGCUGCUGCAACUCGCAGCUAUGAGAAAAGGAAUCAUUAGUAAUCGAAUAUCAGAAAGGUUCGGUGAAAAAAGGAUCUCUUAGACGUACACACCGCCCAUCACAUUCUGGGAAUUGGGUUGGCUUGAAGCUUUGUAGACCUACUAGACUUUAUCAGUAUGGAAGUUUAGUAAUCAUAAAUACAUGCGAAAGUAGAUUCGGUCACUGGGAUGAAGUUGUAACAAGGUUGCCGUAGUGGAAACUGCUGC
Molecule: ribosomal RNA, 1608 nt
Filed under: Paracercomonas marina
Lineage: Eukaryota; Cercozoa; Cercomonadida; Cercomonadidae
Description: SSU rRNA
Rfam family: Bacterial small subunit ribosomal RNA
Source: RNAcentral